UAAAUCUAACAUUCUAUUUCAAUUAACAUUCUAUGUCAUGCUCCGAAUUGCCACGUUUCUCUAGACACGCCAACAGACUCGUCAUAUAUACAGAAAUUUUUCGUGUAUGCGAAGCGAUAGCUAUAUCUGCAAACAAAUAGAAGCUACAAUCAAAGCAUAGAACUGCUAAAUGAGAAACAUAUAUAAAUAAGGAUAUACUAAGUCCACUGUACAUACAACAUCCAAAACACAACCUCGAUCCAAAGUGAACAACCAAACAUAACUGUAUGUACAUAACAACAACCCAAACUACCUCUGAAGGGGUACUCCCUGCUGACGGGAUCCACCAGACCGCUCUCGCCCCGAAGGCCCAUGACCCUGAGAGCGUGAUCGUCGAGGCCUCGGCGGACGUCUACCACUGGUCAGUCCCCCGUUGGAACCGAGCGCUUCCUGUCCUAACCCUGCUCCGUCACCGUCGCCCGCUCACGGACCGAUACAGCUCCUCGCACAACCCACAAUGCCUGCUCAAUCGACGCAUCCAAGAUCUGCAACCUUUUGCAAUACCGGUCGCUCCUCACUGACAGAUCACCUUGGGUCGUAGAGACAUGGGUGAGUAGAGUCUCUGCUUGGCGGAGUGAGGCUUUUCUUGAGUUGGGUGAGUACUCCUGCACGGACUGAUCACCAUGGGUCGUAGAGGCAUGGGUGAGUGCGAUAGAGAAGUUGUUUGAGGAUCUCUUUGUACCGGAACAAGAGCAGAUCCACUUGGCAGUACAUUGUUUGGCGGGUGAUGCGCAUGCCUAGUGGAGAAGGAUGCGGCAGAACCGAGGUUUGGAUGCACUGCAAAUGAGAUGGGACGAGUUUCGUGGGAUGCAGCAUGGGGCCUAUUUCCCAAGCAGCGUAAAGCAGAAAUUCGAGGAGGAUCUGAAGAAGCUGCAGCAAGGUGAUCAGUUAGUGCAGAAAUAUACUCGAGAAUUUACCAGGCUUCUAAACUGUGUGCCUUUUAUAGUUAGGGAUGAAGCUCAUAAGGUGUAUCUGUAUGAGAGAGGAUUGAUGUCAGAGAUUUUUGUGUUAGUACAAGCUCUGUCACUCCCCGUAUUGCCACGUUUUUCCGGGCACGCCAACAAACUUGCCAUAUAGAUAAUAAUUUUUCAUGUAUACGAAGCGAUAGCUAUGCUUGCAAACAAACAAGAGUUACAACCAAAGUACAGAGUUGCUAAAAAAGAAACAUAUAUAAAUAAGGAUAUACUAAGUCCACUGUACAUACAACAUCCAAAACACAACCCCGAUCCAGAGUGAACAACCAAACAUAACUGUAUGUACAUAACAACAAUCCAAACUACCU
RNAcentral lists this long non-coding RNA (1321 nucleotides) under Ananas comosus (pineapple). RNAcentral's name for it is "long non-coding RNA (ACOM_LNC031123)". The record is from RNAcentral. Lineage: Eukaryota; Viridiplantae; Streptophyta; Magnoliopsida; Poales; Bromeliaceae.